GUGCUCGCUUUAUACACGUAUAUACGCUUAUAGCACGUAUACUAAGAUUGGCCCAAUACAGAGAAGAUUAGCAUGGCCUGUGCGCAAGGAUGAUGCCCAAAUCCAUGUUUUGUUCUCUGUGUGU
Small nuclear RNA from Capra hircus (goat), 124 nucleotides. The record is from Ensembl. NCBI's taxonomy places the organism in Eukaryota, Metazoa, Chordata, Mammalia, Artiodactyla, Bovidae.